GGUGAGUAAUGUAGUGGGAUCUGCCUGAGGGCGGGGGAUAACUACUGGAAACGGUAGCUAAUACCGCAUAAUGUCUGCGGACCAAAGCGGGGGACCUCCGGGCCUCGCGCCAUCAGAUGAACCCAUAUGGGAUUAGCUUGUAGGUAAGGUAACGGCUUACCUAGGCGACGAUCCCUAGCUGGUCUGAGAGGAUGACCAGCCACACUGGAACUGAGACACGGUCCAG
RNAcentral lists this ribosomal RNA (226 nucleotides) under uncultured bacterium. Its description in RNAcentral is "partial 16S ribosomal RNA". It matches the Rfam family "Bacterial small subunit ribosomal RNA", at positions 105 to 334 of the family's 1533-position model. The record is from RNAcentral.